GGGCAGACGCCUACCUAGUUCAGCUCUUCAUUCAGGGAGGAAGCUGGGAUCCAGGGCGGGCAAUGGUUCCAGGAAACAUUUGGGCAUGUGGCCCAGAGACUGCGAAUGGAUAGAUCUCUGGCCUCCUCCAACUUGGGUCUAAAUGGACCCAACCAUUAGCUACUUGGCAUCCCUCAGCCUCGCCAGACUGACAGCUAAUUAAGACUUUGGUGCCACUAGCCUAACUGCUCCACUGCAUGCAAGGAGUACAGAGGUUCGGAAGGGCCAGAACAGGGACAGCCAGAUUCUCCACUGCUCCAGGUCAGUCCAGCUGGUCAACUCCUUUAUUACAUUUUCAACAUUUCAACUGAAUGGGAGGGGCCCAGCACCUAGGAGUGAUGGGGAACGUUUGCUUCCUUUUGGGGUUCUAACAACAUUUACAAACAAAAACAAAAACAAACAAACAAAAAAAACAUUUACCAUGUUUUUCCUGGGAAUGAACAGAAUCUGAGUUCAAUUUAGAGAGUAUAGGGUAAGCAGAACCAAGUACAGAGAAGAAUUUAAUAUGACCCCCAGCCCACCACCCAAACAUGAUUGGCAGCAUCCCUUGGUUUGCUUUGGAGCACGUCAAGGGCCAGUUUCUUUCUUUUUUUUUUUUUUUUUAUUUAUUUAUGAUAGUCACACAGUGAGAGAGAGAGAGAGGCAGAGACACAGGCAGAGGGAGAAGCAGGCUCCAUGCACCGGGAGCCUGACGUGGGAUUCGAUCCCGGGUCUCCAGGAUCGCGCCCUGGGCCAAAGGCAAGCGCCAAACCGCUGCGCCACCCAGGGAUCCCCAAGGGCCAGUUUCAAGCAAAUCACAAAGGCCAAGUUACUGUUCUGAAAGUGAUAGACUCAGAGUCCAAUCACCCUUGCCCCUUUCAGGAGGCGUUACCUCAAUGCUCCCUACUUUAUUACCUAGCAUCCAGCUGGGUAUCUGGAGAUUCAAGAGGCCAAGAUUGAAAAAAAAAAAAAAGUUAAAAUAUAAUUUUUAGGGACGCCUGGGUGGCUCAGCGGUUGGGCGUCUGCCUUUGGCUCCUGGGGUCCCGGGAUGGAAUCCCACAUUGGGCUCCCGGCAUGGAGCCUGCUUCUCCCUCUGCCUGUCUCUCUCUGUGUCUCUCAUGAAUAAGUAAAUAAAAUCUUUUAAAAAGGAAUAAAAUAUUAAAAAUAUAUAAUUUUUAGAUAUCACAAAAUAUCUUAAAAGAUUCUAUUUAUUUAUUCAUGAGACACACACACACACACACAGAGAGGCAGAGACACAGGCAGAGGGAGAAACAGGCUCCAUGCAGGGAGCCCGACGGGGGACUUGAUCCCAGGUCUCCAGGACCACGCCCUGGACUGAAGGCAGCGCUAAACUGCUGAGCCACCGGGGCUGCCCUCAUAAAAUACUUUUGAUGGGUCUAAAAAUAAGUAAAACCACAAGAAAGUAGAGACCCCUGAGAGUAAAUGGGCAGAAACUGGGAAUGGAAGAGGGCACUCCAAGGAAAGAAACCCAGUCGAAUAGGUCAAGAAAGGUCUUUCUCAUCCCCAGUUUGGCAAACUCGUACACGUUUGUUUUUUUUUUUUUUUUUUUUUUAAUGAUGAAAAGGCCUAAUGGUGGCGAUGUACACAUUUGGGGGCUGUGGACAGUCAUUCUGAAGGACAGUCUGAUGAUGGCUUAAGAGAAAGUCCAGGGCAGCCUGGGUGGCUCAGCGGUUUAGCACCACCUACAGCCCAGGGCAUGGUCCUGGAGACCCAGGAUGGAGUCUGCCUGUGUCUCUGCCUCUCUCUCAUGAAUAAAUAAAAUCUUAAAAAAAAGAAAAAAAAAAAAGAGAGAGAGAGAGAAAGUCCCUACUCUUUAAGCCAGUAAUUUUGCUUCUAGGAGUCUGUACUUAUUAAGGAUUAGGAAAUUGGGAAAACCUUCAUACUCAGUGAUGCAUGUCCUCUCCUAGGGGUUAUUAACUUUUGAAGGGAACUAUAAACAACCUAAAUGCCCAGGCAGCCUCAAAGGGAGGCCUCAGAAGCAUGUGGAACAGCUUGAUAACAAAGGCAGGUGUCCUAUUAUGAUGUUGAAUGAAAACAGCAGGGUUCACAGAAGUACAGCCAAAUCGAAAAUCACAGCUGAGUCCUUAAAGCAGAGCGAAGGCCACAAGGGACAAGCACCACCUAGUGAGGAUAAGACUGCUUCUGCCCUGGGGGUGUGAAGGUGCUGGCACUGGGUCUGGCCUGAUGGCUAACUCACAGGGUCCAGGGUCUGCAGGGGAAACUGACAGGAAGAGGCAGGGAUGAAUUUCACACACUGUGGGUUUGGUCUUCCGCGACUGAUAAACUCUUCUCUAGGAACAAACGAGCAGGCAGAGGAAAGCCUGAAAGUCCUUGCGGUGCUUGGAAAAACCAAAGUGACCAAGUCAAAUGCACCUCUUGCUACUGUGGGUGUUAACAAGUCUGUGGGAUCCUGAGGUCAUCCUGGCUCCAAAUCAAGGAUCAUCCCCGAGUUGGUUUUAGGGCCUUAGGAGCCAGUGUCUUUUCGUCCUUUGCCAUCUUCUCUGAGCCCCUGCUGCUGCUGGAAGCCACCUACAAGGGAGGGGGGUGACCUGCUGGCUGCUCAGCUCUGCAUUGUCCCAGCAGACACCAUGGCACUGACGCAGAGUCCGAGGAGCAAGGCGCCACCGGCCCCCAACCACAUAGAGGAGGUGCGCCUGCACCAGGUGGAAUCCAUCAGCGACCUACACAGCGGAGGUGCAGCCGUGGGACGAGCUACUGGGCAUCUUGCCACCAUCGCUGUGUGCCCAGGCUGGCUGUAGUCCUGUGCAAGGCCGGGGAGGCUUCCUGUUGCUGCUGGCAUUGCUGGUGCUCACCUGCCUGGCGCUCGCCAUCCUGGCUGUCUAUCUGAGCGGUAAGGCGGAUGGUGCAAGGGGCAAGUGGGAACAGAGGGCCAGGAACUGGGACCGGAGGGCCCUUCUGCACACCUGGAGGGAGCAGCUACAGAGGCUGAGGCAGUGAAGGGGGGGCAGGGAGGUGUAGGGUGGCACGUGGUCUCAUCACCUCCAUUCCUGCCCACCCACCCAGUGCUGCAGAGUGAAUCUCUCCGCAUGCUGGCACACACACUUCGCACUCAGGAGGAGACGCUACUUAAACUCCGGCUCGCCAGCCUCAGCCAGCUGCGGAGGCUCAACUCCACUGAGGCCCAAGCACCCA
Nyctereutes procyonoides (raccoon dog) is the source of this 3192-nucleotide RNA transcript. It is a transcript of the gene named leucine rich single-pass membrane protein 2, with no coding region annotated. The transcript is spliced from 2 exons. The record is from RefSeq and is a predicted model, not a curated record. Lineage: Eukaryota; Metazoa; Chordata; Mammalia; Carnivora; Canidae.